Molecule: long non-coding RNA, 962 nt
Filed under: Homo sapiens (human)
Lineage: Eukaryota; Metazoa; Chordata; Mammalia; Primates; Hominidae
Description: HSALNT0001520
Source: RNAcentral
GAGCAGAAUGUUAUAUAGCAAUGAGAAUGAGCAGUCUACAAGUCCACACAACAGUAUCGAUGACUCUCACACACAUAAAGCUGGGCAAAAGCAGCUGCCCACAAAAAAAAUAUGUGUUCAUGAUUCCAACUGUACAAAGAAACAAACACAGGCAGAAUUAAUAAAUCUAUGGUGGCAAAAGAAAUAGGGGUUACCCCAGGUUUGGGGGAGUGACUAGAAGGGCGCAUGGGAGGCUUCUGGGUGCUAGUAACUUUACGUUUUUGUUGGUUUUUUUUUUAAUCUGGGAGCUGGGGACUUUUCAAAAACUCAACACACUCAGUCCAAGUGGUUCGGAUAAGCUGACUUCACCCCUAGCUCCCUGGAUAGCCUGAGACUCAGACACAGCCAAUCAGGGGCCUGAGUUUGCCCAGGCCAUGGGGAUUGGCUUGGAGGUGGGAAUGAGACUUAGGCGCAGCCUAUCACUACACGUUAUCUCCCUGACUAUAGGAUUCCAGGAUGGCCAUAUGACUAUCAAGUCAGUCCAGUGGGUUUUGACAUCUAGGCUUCUCUGGGACUUCUUCUUGGGGUAGCAGAAACGACAGACUGUCUACCUAGAGCUGCUAGCAACUGUUUGCUGUCUUUAGGGGCAGAACUUGAGAAGAGACCAACACAGAGGAAAGUGGGGCUAAAGCAGACAGUACAAGCCUGGGUCCUGAGGACGAACUUUGAUUCCCUGGAUCCAGCCAUGCCUGAAGCUACAGUCUAUCCCUGGACUCUUCAGUCUCAUCAGCCUUUUUUCUUUUUUAACUUACAGCAGUUUGAGCUGAGUUUUUGGCCGCUUACAGCUAAAAACAUCUAUUUUCAUUACUGCAGCUGCACUUCCAUUUUUAGAAGCUUCUAGUGUUUAGAAAGUUCUUUCCCUGACCGGGCACGGUGGGGAGGGUGUGGCAUGAGCAAGUUGAAGACUUCAACUGGGCUGGGUC